AUGCGCCAUCGCACGGAGUCGGCGGCGCGCUCUCGCGGUCUUGCGCGUGCGCGUGUCCUGCUGGGUGGUGCGGAGAGGGUGGGUUGCGCUGCCCCGAAGCAGGGGACGUUGCGUGGUCCCGGGGCUGUGGGGGCAUGGUGCAUUGUCCUAGGGAUGAUUGAGGAACGGCAUCGUCCCAGAAUUAGGGGGUGCGGCAUUGGUCCAUCACCCGCCCACCUCCUGUUCGAGGCAGUUGUCCGUAGUGACCUUUCUUUCGUGAGAAAAGGUGGAAGAAGAGGUGGAGAAGAUGUGGCUUCCCUUGUCCUUGGUGGGUUGGUUUUUAACAUCUUGUGUUUGUCUUCCUCAUUUCUAUCUCAAAAAAGUCAGAGUCACUUCAUACUAACCCAGGCUUCCUGGUUCGUUACAGUGGCAGAUCAACAGAUUUCUAAUGCCAUACAACUGUAUCCACAUGCUUCUUUUCCCCAUGGGGUAACAGGAAUGUCUAUUCAGGACAAAAUGAGAAGCACUAUCACCUUCUCCAUGCCUUGGAAGGUUUGCUAUGAUGUACUGCUGACUCUCUGCAAGCUUCCCCAGCCCCUCCUGCUCACGACUCUGGGAGGUUGGGAGGGGAGUCAAAUUCCUGGUGUCUUCUACCAGUCACGAGGGGCGUGCUAACCCAGUCCUUAGAGACAGGUGUCCAAAUGGUGGGAUUUUAGCAAAUCCACAUUGCUCCCUCCCUCAGGGUCUGAGAGGGCCCAGCACACCAGCUACUGGGAGUAGCAGUGCAGAACCACCAGGAAAUGGUGGCAAGCAUUUGGCUGUGCCUUUGCUGAUGAAGGCAGAGUGUGGCCUGGCCUCCUUGCUGGUGCAGGCUUUGGGCCUGUUCCUGCUGACACGGAGCUCCAGCCAUAACUAGAGAUGCUUCUCAACCAAGCAGUGCAGUGAUGUGAAGAAGAUGAAACCUAUGAACUACUAGAAGCAGCAAUCAUCUGUCUAGAGAAGACAAAUUGGUCCUUUUCCUUGGUUCUGCUAGUAUCUGUCCCCCUACUUGGCACAUUCAUCACUAUGAACACCUCCUCUCUAAGAGAGAAAUAUUUUAUCUGGCUAACAGAUUGCCAAAGCCAUUUCAUGGGAUAUCUCAGACAAUAAAUCUGGUAUCAAAUCCCUUCUCUUACUCUAA
RNAcentral lists this long non-coding RNA (1159 nucleotides) under Phasianus colchicus (ring-necked pheasant). RNAcentral's name for it is "lncRNA (ENSPCLG00000013475.1)". Lineage: Eukaryota; Metazoa; Chordata; Aves; Galliformes; Phasianidae. The record is from RNAcentral.